RNAcentral lists this unclassified non-coding RNA (235 nucleotides) under uncultured fungus. RNAcentral's name for it is "partial contains 5.8S ribosomal RNA, internal transcribed spacer 2, and large subunit ribosomal RNA". The stretch from base 1 to 52 matches the Rfam family "5.8S ribosomal RNA", at positions 103 to 154 of the family's 154-position model. Lineage: Eukaryota; Fungi. The record is from RNAcentral.
AACGCACAUUGCGCCCUGUGGUAUUCCGCAGGGCAUGCCUGUUCGAGCGUCAUUUCAACCCUCAAGCACUGCUUGGUGUUGGGCCCUGCCCGUCGCGGCCGGCCCUAAAGACAGUGGCGGUGCCGUCUGGCUCUAAGCGUAGUACAACUCUCGCUCUAGAGUCCUGCGGUAGCUCGCCAGAACCCCUAAUCUUAUGGUUGACCUCGGAUCAGGUAGGGAUACCCGCUGAACUUAA